Non-coding RNA from Antechinus flavipes (yellow-footed antechinus), 624 nucleotides. Lineage: Eukaryota; Metazoa; Chordata; Mammalia; Dasyuromorphia; Dasyuridae. The record is from the annotation of a RefSeq genome assembly.
AUGGGGGCCCCUGACAAUCCUCAUGGGAAAAAGCAACACGGGCCAAGCCCCGACUGGGAGGAAGAUGAAAGGUGGAGGGGCCAGUGUUCCUGUCUCACAGCUGCACAGAGGGAAAGGGAGGGGGUGAGACAAAUCACUGGGAGGUUUUUGUGCGGGUCUGUGUCACGGUGUUGGGUGUUCGGCGGAGGGACCCGUGUGACCGUCAUUGGUCAGCCCAAGGCAUCCCCCACCGUGUAUGUCUUUGCUCCAUCCCAGGAUGAGCUAGACACAAAAAAGGCCACCCUCGUGUGUCUGAUAAAUGGCUUCUACCCAAGCACUGUGGAUGUGGCUUGGACCAAGAAUGGCUCCCCCGUGACCCAGGGGGUGAUGACCACGCAGCCAGCCCGCCAGAGUGACAACAAGUACACAGCCAGCAGUUACCUCUCGCUCACUGAUGACCAGUGGCAUUCUGGCGACAUCUUCAGCUGCAAGGUCACCCAUGAGGGCCAGACCCUCCACAAGGAGCUGUCCUCAACCCAGUGCACUUAGAUGCCCACAUGCUUCCUCCCUCACGCCCCACAAUGGACUUCCCCACCUCUCCCCCCUCCUCCCCUACUUUCAAUAAAGAUCUUCUUUCUCAUUCAA